UACGUAGGGGGCAAGCGUUGUCCGGAAUCAUUGGGCGUAAAGCGAGUGUAGGUGGUUGUCCAAGUUGGAUGUGAAAGCCUUGAGCUCAACUCAAGAAAUGCAUUCAGGACUGGAUGACUAGAGGACCGGAGAGGAUAGUGGAAUUCCCAGUGUAGUGGUGAAAUACGUAGAGAUUGGGAAGAACACCAGUGGCGAAGGCGGCUAUCUGGACGGUUUCUGACACUAAGACUCGAAAGCGUGGGGAGCAAACAGG
This 253-nucleotide ribosomal RNA is filed under the name uncultured bacterium. Its description in RNAcentral is "partial 16S ribosomal RNA". It matches the Rfam family "Bacterial small subunit ribosomal RNA", at positions 524 to 776 of the family's 1533-position model. The record is from RNAcentral.